Molecule: non-coding RNA, 1038 nt
Organism: Misgurnus anguillicaudatus (oriental weatherfish)
Lineage: Eukaryota; Metazoa; Chordata; Actinopteri; Cypriniformes; Cobitidae
Source: RefSeq, a predicted model, not a curated record
UACUGCAAACACCAGAAGACUACAAAAUCCACUGUUUUUUCCCAGUACUUGACCGUUUAAUCAGUGAAUUGAAUAGGCGCUUCUCUGCUGACAGUUGCCACGUUAUGAAAGGAGUUGCAGCUAUUAAUCCCAAACACAAGACCUUCCUGCACCAAGAUGCCCUUCAACCCAUGGCUAGGCACUAUGGCAUAUUAGAAGACAACCUUUCAGCAGAGCUACAUCAACUAAAACGACUCAUUGACAGAAAAAAACAAAAUGGGGUCUCUCUCAACAGCACCCAUGACUUGCUGAUUCUAUUAAGACCAUACAAGGAGGCUUUCAUUGAUUUAUACAAACUUGUGUGCAUCUCCAUGACACUGCCUGUAUCAACAGCUGCUUGUGAGAGGAGCUUUUCUUGCUUACGGCGUUUAAAAACCUACCUCAGAAACAAAAGUGGCGAUGUCCGAACCAGCAAUCUUGCUGUGCUGGCAAUCAGCUCACGAAGAACAAAAGAGAUUGAUGUAGAUGUUGUUAUUGAUCGCUUUGCAGCCAAUCAUAACAACAGGCGAAUUGUUCUCUUUUAAGUGGAAAUCACACAUGUGGAGAAUGGAUUGAAGACAGGAGGAGACUGGAGACUUAAGAGGAGCAGAGAAAAUGAGGAAACUGGACAAAAGAGCAGUCAAUAUUGUAAAUCACACCUGUGGAGACUGAAGAGAGGAGAGAAGAUGAGAGGAUGACACUGGAGAGUAAUAGGAGUAAAUUACACACUGCAAAAAAAAAAUGACUUUUUUACUUAGUGUUUUUGUCUUGUUUUCAGUAAAAAAUAUCUUAAAAUUCUUAAAUUAAAAAUGUAUUUUCAUGAUGAGUAAAAUGACCUAAGAAAAUAGUUUUCUAAUUUUUACUGAAAACAAGACAAAAUUAUUAAGUAAGAAAGUCAUUUCUUCAACUGAACAGAAGUAGGGCAAUCAAAAGAGAGUAUGAGAAUAGAUACUAUUUUGUUUUCUGUCAUGGGUAUGGCUAUGGCAGUUAUAGUUUGAGCGCAUUGUUUGUUAACUGGAA